UAGCUCAGUUGGUAGAGUGUUUGCCUUGCAUGCACAAGGCUCUGGGUUCAAUCCUCAG
This 58-nucleotide transfer RNA is filed under the name Ictidomys tridecemlineatus (thirteen-lined ground squirrel). Its description in RNAcentral is "Spermophilus tridecemlineatus (thirteen-lined ground squirrel) tRNA". It matches the Rfam family "tRNA", at positions 8 to 63 of the family's 71-position model. Rfam says of the family: Transfer RNA (tRNA) molecules are approximately 80 nucleotides in length. Lineage: Eukaryota; Metazoa; Chordata; Mammalia; Rodentia; Sciuridae. The record is from Rfam by way of RNAcentral.